This 410-nucleotide ribosomal RNA is filed under the name uncultured bacterium. RNAcentral describes it as "bacterial SSU rRNA". It matches the Rfam family "Bacterial small subunit ribosomal RNA", at positions 30 to 429 of the family's 1533-position model. The record is from RNAcentral.
AGUGAACGCUGGCGGCAGGCCUAACACAUGCAAGUCGAGCGGCAGCGCGUCCGACCACCCUCGGGUGGUCGGAUGGCGGCGAGCGGCGGACGGGUGAGGAAUGCAUCGGAAUCUGCCUCGUUGUGGGGGAUAACGUAGGGAAACUUACGCUAAUACCGCAUACGACCUACGGGUGAAAGUGGGGGACCUUCGGGCCUCACGCGAUGAGAUGAGCCGAUGCCGGAUUAGCUAGUUGGCGGGGUAAAGGCCCACCAAGGCGACGAUCCGUAGCUGGUCUGAGAGGAUGAUCAGCCACACUGGAACUGAGACACGGUCCAGACUCCUACGGGAGGCAGCAGUGGGGAAUAUUGGACAAUGGGGGCAACCCUGAUCCAGCCAUGCCGCGUGUGUGAAGAAGGCCUGGUUGUAAG